This 350-nucleotide ribosomal RNA is filed under the name uncultured bacterium. Its description in RNAcentral is "bacterial SSU rRNA". It matches the Rfam family "Bacterial small subunit ribosomal RNA", at positions 1044 to 1396 of the family's 1533-position model. The record is from RNAcentral.
UAUGGCUGUCGUCAGCUCGUGUCGUGAGAUGUUGGGUUAAGUCCCGCAACGAGCGCAACCCUUGUCGUUAGUUACUACCAUUAAGUUGAGGACUCUAGCGAGACUGCCUGGGUUAACCAGGAGGAAGGUGGGGAUGACGUCAAAUCAUCAUGCCCCUUAUGUGUAGGGCUACACACGUGCUACAAUGGCUGGUACAGAGAGAUGCAAUACCGCGAGGUGGAGCCAAACUUAAAAACCAGUCUCAGUUCGGAUUGUAGGCUGAAACUCGCCUACAUGAAGCUGGAGUUACUAGUAAUCGCGAAUCAGAAUGUCGCGGUGAAUACGUUCCCGGGUCUUGUACACACCGCCCG